UUCGCAAUGCCCGAAAGGGUGACGAAGCGACGCCGCGUGGGUGGGGAAGGCCUUCGGGUUGUAAAACCCUGUCAGGAGUUAUGAAAUGUAAGUGCGCUAAUAUCGUGCUUAUUUGACAAAGGCUCCAGAGGAAGCCACGGCUAACUCUGUGCCAGCAGCCGCGGUAAUACAGAGGUGGCAAGCGUUGUUCGGAAUUAUUGGGCGUAAAGAGCACGUAGGUGGAUUUGUUAGUCAGAUGUGAAAGCCUUCUGUUCAACGGAAGAAUUGCAUCUGAAACUACAAACCUUGAGUAUAGGAGGGGAGAAUGGAACUUCUGGUGGAGCGGUGAAAUGCGUAGAUAUCAGAAGGAACGCCGGCGGCGAAAGCGAUUCUCUGGCCUAUUACUGACACUCAGUGUGCGAAAGCUAGGGGAGCAAACGGGAUUAGAUACCCCGGUAGUCCUAGCUGUAACCGAUGGGCACUAAGUAGAGGGGUUUU
Molecule: ribosomal RNA, 477 nt
Filed under: uncultured Candidatus Scalindua sp.
Lineage: Bacteria; Pseudomonadati; Planctomycetota; Candidatus Brocadiia; Candidatus Brocadiales; Candidatus Scalinduaceae
Description: bacterial SSU rRNA
Rfam family: Bacterial small subunit ribosomal RNA
Source: RNAcentral